RNAcentral lists this ribosomal RNA (323 nucleotides) under Methylobacterium sp. MB2.1. Its description in RNAcentral is "bacterial SSU rRNA". It matches the Rfam family "Bacterial small subunit ribosomal RNA", at positions 1008 to 1329 of the family's 1533-position model. The record is from RNAcentral. Lineage: Bacteria; Pseudomonadati; Pseudomonadota; Alphaproteobacteria; Hyphomicrobiales; Methylobacteriaceae.
CCACGGUNUCCUUCGGGAGCGGCGCACACAGGUGCUGCAUGGCUGUCGGUCAGCUCGUGUCGUGAGAUGUUGGGUUAAGUCCCGCAACGAGCGCAACCACACGUCCUCAGUUGCCAUCAUUCAGUUGGGCACUCUGGGGAGACUGCCGGUGAUAAGCCGCGAGGAAGGUGUGGAUGACGUCAAGUCCUCAUGGCCCUUACGGGAUGGGCUACACACGUGCUACAAUGGCGGUGACAGUGGGACGCGAACCCGCGAGGGCAAGCAAAUCUCCAAAAGCCGUCUCAGUUCGGAUUGCACUCUGCAACUCGAGUGCANGAAGGCGG